RNAcentral lists this ribosomal RNA (253 nucleotides) under uncultured bacterium. RNAcentral describes it as "partial 16S ribosomal RNA". It matches the Rfam family "Bacterial small subunit ribosomal RNA", at positions 524 to 776 of the family's 1533-position model. The record is from RNAcentral.
UACGAAGGGGGCUAGCGUUGCUCGGAAUGACUGGGCGUAAAGGGCGCGUAGGCGGUUCGUACAGUCAGACGUGAAAUUCCCGGGCUCAACCUGGGGGCUGCGUUUGAUACGUGCGGGCUUGAGUUCGGAAGAGGGUCGUGGAAUUCCCGGUGUAGAGGUGAAAUUCGUAGAUAUCGGGAGGAACACCGGUGGCGAAGGCGGCGAUCUGGGUAGAUACUGACGCUGAGGUGCGAAAGCGUGGGGAGCAAACAGG